GAUGAACGCUGGCGGCGUGCCUAAUACAUGCAAGUCGAGCGAACAGACCAGGCGCUUGUUCGUUUGACGUUAGCGGCGGACGGGUGUGUAACACGUGGAUAACCUCCCUAUCUUUCUGGGAUAAUUUCGGGAAACCGGCUCUAAUACCGGAGAAUCUAUUGAAGCGUAUGGUUCAUUGGUGAAAGACGGUUUUUCUGUCACUACUAGCUGGAUCCGCGCCGCAUUAGCUAGUUGGUACGGUAACGGCUUAUCACGGGUACGAUGCGUAGACGACCUGAGAGGGUGAUCGGCCACACUGGAACUGAGACACGGUCCAGACGCCUACGAGAGGCAGCAGUAGGGAAUCUGCCGCAAUGGGCGGAAGCUUGACACAGCGACGCCGAGUGAGUGAUGAAGGUCUUCGGAUCGUAAAACUCUGUUAUUGGGGAAGAACAGAUGUGGAAGUUGCUGUGCCGGUAUUGACGGUACCGAAUCAAAAAGCCACGGCUAACUACGUG
RNAcentral lists this ribosomal RNA (497 nucleotides) under uncultured bacterium. RNAcentral describes it as "partial 16S ribosomal RNA". It matches the Rfam family "Bacterial small subunit ribosomal RNA", at positions 28 to 507 of the family's 1533-position model. The record is from RNAcentral.